RNAcentral lists this ribosomal RNA (253 nucleotides) under uncultured bacterium. Its description in RNAcentral is "partial 16S ribosomal RNA". It matches the Rfam family "Bacterial small subunit ribosomal RNA", at positions 524 to 776 of the family's 1533-position model. The record is from RNAcentral.
UACGGGGGGGGCGAGCGUUGUUCGGAAUCACUGGGCGUAAAGGGCUCGUAGGCGGUCCGUCACGUCGGGAGUGAAAACUCAGGGCUCAACCCUGAGCGUGCUUCCGAUACGGGCGGACUAGAGGUAUGCAGGGGAGAACGGAAUUCCUGGUGUAGCGGUGGAAUGCGCAGAUAUCAGGAGGAACACCAGUGGCGAAGGCGGCUCACUGGCCCGGUACUGACGCUGAGGCGCGAAAGCGUGGGGAGCAAACAGG